UUUCCUUCAUCUUCAGAUACGUCUGACGAGGAGUUGGAGGAGAUUUCGAGAGAAGCUUUCUGAAAUGAAAAAAAGUAGGCAUAUAUUGGAAAACCUUUAAACUUUUUUUGUGAUUUAUCUGAAUCCUUGCUAUAUUAGACCCAAAACUAC
Caenorhabditis elegans is the source of this 150-nucleotide non-coding RNA. Lineage: Eukaryota; Metazoa; Nematoda; Chromadorea; Rhabditida; Rhabditidae. The record is from Ensembl.